This 252-nucleotide long non-coding RNA is filed under the name Salmo salar (Atlantic salmon). RNAcentral's name for it is "lncRNA (ENSSSAG00000082515.1)". Lineage: Eukaryota; Metazoa; Chordata; Actinopteri; Salmoniformes; Salmonidae. The record is from RNAcentral.
GUUGUAUGUGGAGGAUGAGGGCUGCAGUAGAUAUCUCAGAUAGGGAGGAGUGAACGGGUGUUGUAUGUGGAGGAUGAGGGCUGCAGUAGAUAUCUCAGAUAGGGGGGAGUGAACGGGUGUUGUAUGUGGAGGAUGAGGGCUGCAGUAGAUAUCUCAGAUAGGGGGGAGUGAACGGGUGUUGUAUGUGGAGGAUGAGGGCUGCAGUAGAUAUCUCAGAUAGGGGGGAGUGAACGGGUGUUGUAUGUGGAGGAU